CACUCCCACUAUUUGUGUCUCUCUAGGACAUUUUUUAGACUCCAGGCAGACCCUGGUAGAUUCAAGGCACUCCUUGAAAAAUGUCAGCUUUUAGUUUUCACGUGAUUUUUGGAUUAUAGGAAGAUACUAGAGCAAUUUCUUCUCUUGUCAUGAACUCAGAAAGACCACAACAUGUUUUCAGCACUGUGGAUUGUCUUUGAAAUCUGCUGUGUUCAUCUUGUGACUCGUGUUUGCACAGUGCUAAAACUACACGGCAGCCUGUAACACCCCUGAAAGGAACUCAAGGCACCCUAGGAUGUCAGCAUGGCGCUGUGGCUGGGAUUCGCUGCUCUAGGAGUCUCGUCCAGGAAAUGCCUAGCAUUUUGCCACCUGGAAAGAGCACUGAUCCCCAUAGAGUUUGUGCCCUGAGAACUUCUGCAGCCUGUUACUGGAGAGCACAAACAACUCUUUUCUAGAGACUGCCCAUGUCGCCAUAGGUCAGAGGCAAUUACUGGAUGUCUACUGUUAUUCAGACUGAAUUCACACAAGUGCAUCCCAGGCUCAGCAGUUUUCUGCAGGAUGUUUUUCCUCUCAUAAAGCACCUGAAAAUAAACUUCACUCGAAGCUUAGCAAGCAUCCAUCUCCCAGCCUUCAGUCGCAGACCACACGCACCACUUACUACCUCCAGUCUCAGCCUAUUUCACUUUGCAAAGUGCUUUGGUUACCAGCUGUGUGAGAGACUCCACGUAAAAUAAACAGGCAUUCAUCUCUGCCCAGA
Alligator mississippiensis (American alligator) is the source of this 757-nucleotide long non-coding RNA. RefSeq lists it as uncharacterized. The record is from RefSeq and is a predicted model, not a curated record. NCBI's taxonomy places the organism in Eukaryota, Metazoa, Chordata, Crocodylia, Alligatoridae. The transcript is spliced from 2 exons.